Molecule: ribosomal RNA, 253 nt
Filed under: uncultured bacterium
Lineage: Bacteria
Description: partial 16S ribosomal RNA
Rfam family: Bacterial small subunit ribosomal RNA
Source: RNAcentral
UACGAAGGGGGCUAGCGUUGCUCGGAAUCACUGGGCGUAAAGCGCACGUAGGCGGAUUGUUAAGUCGGGGGUGAAAUCCUGGAGCUCAACUCCAGAACUGCCUUCGAUACUGGCGAUCUUGAGUCCGGGAGAGGUGAGUGGAACUCCGAGUGUAGAGGUGAAAUUCGUAGAUAUUCGGAAGAACACCAGUGGCGAAGGCGGCUCACUGGCCCGGUACUGACGCUGAGGAGCGAAAGCCAGGGGAGCAAACGGG